CUCAGCUGCUUGGCCUCAGUCCACACUCCAGCCAGACACCACCUGGUUCACCACCACCGCAGCUUCGAACACAGAAUUCGGGACUGAUUCAGGUUUGGCCCUGAGGCUGGUGAACGGAGGUGACCGUUGUCAGGGCCGCGUGGAGGUCCUGUACCGAGGCUCUUGGGGCACCGUGUGUGACGACAGCUGGGACACCAAUGACGCCAACGUGGUGUGCAGGCAGC
Long non-coding RNA from Enhydra lutris kenyoni (northern sea otter), 224 nucleotides. RefSeq lists it as uncharacterized. The record is from RefSeq and is a predicted model, not a curated record. The transcript has 3 exons. Lineage: Eukaryota; Metazoa; Chordata; Mammalia; Carnivora; Mustelidae.